RNAcentral lists this ribosomal RNA (486 nucleotides) under uncultured organism. Its description in RNAcentral is "bacterial SSU rRNA". It matches the Rfam family "Bacterial small subunit ribosomal RNA", at positions 28 to 507 of the family's 1533-position model. The record is from RNAcentral.
GAUGAACGCUGGCGGCGUGCCUAAUACAUGCAAGUCGAUCGGGUGUAGCAAUACACCAGAGGCGUACGGGUGAGUAACACGUAGGUAACCUGCCCUCGAGCUCGGAAUACCCAGACGAAAGUUUGGCUAAUACCGAAUAAGAAUAUUGGAGGCAUCUCCGAUAUUUGAAAGGCGCUUUUAAAAGCGUCACUCUUGGAUGGACCUGCGGCACAUUAGCUAGUUGGUGAGACAAUAGCCCACCAAGGCAAGGAUGUGUAGCCGAUCUGAGAGGAUGACCGGCCACAAUGGGACUGAGACACGGCCCAUACUCCUACGGGAGGCAGCAGUAGGGAGUUUUCGGCAAUGGGGGAAACCCUGACCGAGCAACGCCGCGUGAGUGAUGAAGGUCUUCGGAUUGUAAAGCUCUGUUACAGGGGACGAAUGAUCGCUAUAGGAAAUGAUAGCGGUUCGACGGUACCCUGCCAGAAAGUGACGGCUAACUACGUG